AAGAUGCCAUCCAGUUAGGAAAAGAGCUGGAGAAUCCUCAGUCCCUGGUACAGAUUGAUUUGGCAUCUUUGAAGAGCACAUUCAGCUCUGAUCUUUGAUGGUCUGAGUGGUCACUGUCUUCUAAAAUGGUCAUUUUAAAAAAGUAACUUGCCUUCUUCAAGUAGGAUUGGAGAAGCUCACUCAAUCAGUGUUCAGCCUGUAGACAGAAAGGUGGCAUUAGCAACAAUCAGCAUCACCAAACCCUCCAAACUUCCAGUCCAAGAUAAAACCAGGAAAAAACAAUGAUAAAGGAAGUGACAGGAAUUGCUUUCAUUCCAUUAACUCGCA
Molecule: unclassified non-coding RNA, 327 nt
Filed under: uncultured bacterium
Lineage: Bacteria
Description: contains 16S-23S intergenic spacer region
Source: RNAcentral